This 692-nucleotide ribosomal RNA is filed under the name Microbacterium sp. PE-R2A-97. Its description in RNAcentral is "bacterial SSU rRNA". It matches the Rfam family "Bacterial small subunit ribosomal RNA", at positions 103 to 808 of the family's 1533-position model. The record is from RNAcentral. Lineage: Bacteria; Bacillati; Actinomycetota; Actinomycetes; Micrococcales; Microbacteriaceae.
CGGGUGAGUAACACGUGAGCAACCUGCCCCUGACUCUGGGAUAAGCGCUGGAAACGGCGUCUAAUACUGGAUACGAGACGUGACCGCAUGGUCAACGUUUGGAAAGAUUUUUUGGUUGGGGAUGGGCUCGCGGCCUAUCAGCUUGUUGGUGAGGUAAUGGCUCACCAAGGCGUCGACGGGUAGCCGGCCUGAGAGGGUGACCGGCCACACUGGGACUGAGACACGGCCCAGACUCCUACGGGAGGCAGCAGUGGGGAAUAUUGCACAAUGGGCGGAAGCCUGAUGCAGCAACGCCGCGUGAGGGAUGACGGCCUUCGGGUUGUAAACCUCUUUUAGCAGGGAAGAAGCGAAAGUGACGGUACCUGCAGAAAAAGCACCGGCUAACUACGUGCCAGCAGCCGCGGUAAUACGUAGGGUGCAAGCGUUAUCCGGAAUUAUUGGGCGUAAAGAGCUCGUAGGCGGUUUGUCGCGUCUGCUGUGAAAUCCGGAGGCUCAACCUCCGGCCUGCAGUGGGUACGGGCAGACUAGAGUGCGGUAGGGGAGAUUGGAAUUCCUGGUGUAGCGGUGGAAUGCGCAGAUAUCAGGAGGAACACCGAUGGCGAAGGCAGAUCUCUGGGCCGUAACUGACGCUGAGGAGCGAAAGGGUGGGGAGCAAACAGGCUUAGAUACCCUGGUAGUCCACCCCGUAAACG